Molecule: ribosomal RNA, 650 nt
Filed under: Ganoderma applanatum
Lineage: Eukaryota; Fungi; Basidiomycota; Agaricomycetes; Polyporales; Polyporaceae
Description: eukaryotic LSU rRNA
Rfam family: 5.8S ribosomal RNA (bases 237-390)
Source: RNAcentral
UCCGUAGGUGAACCUGCGGAAGGAUCAUUAUCGAGUUUUGACUGGGUUGUAGCUGGCCUUACGAGGCAUGUGCACGCCCUGCUCAUCCGCUCCUACACCUGUGCACUUACUGUGGGUUUACGAGUCGCGAAACGGGCCCGUUCAUUCGGGCUCGUUGAGCGCACUUGUUGCCUGCGUUUAUCACAAACUCUUAUAAAGUAUUAGAAUGUGUAUUGCGAUGUAACGCAUCUAUAUACAACUUUCAGCAACGGAUCUCUUGGCUCUCGCAUCGAUGAAGAACGCAGCGAAAUGCGAUAAGUAAUGUGAAUUGCAGAAUUCAGUGAAUCAUCGAAUCUUUGAACGCACCUUGCGCUCCUUGGUAUUCCGAGGAGCAUGCCUGUUUGAGUGUCAUGAAAUCUUCAACUUACGAGCUUCUUGCGGGGUUUGUAGGCUUGGACUUGGAGGCUUGUCGGUCUUUAAAGGUCGGCUCCUCUUAAAUGCAUUAGCUUGGUUCCUUGCGGAUCGGGUUGUCGGUGUGAUAAUGUCUACGCCGCGACCGUGAAGCGUUUGGCAGGCUUCUAACCGUCUCGGUAUAGAGACAAGUUUAUGACCUCUGACCUCAAAUCAGGUAGGACUACCCGCUGAACUUAAGCAUAUCAAUAAGCGGAGGA